UACGGGGGGAGCAAGCGUUAUUCGGAUUUACUGGGCGUAAAGGGCGCGUAGGCGGCGUGACAAGUCACUUGUGAAAUCUCCGGGCUUAACCCGGAGCGGUCAAGUGAUACUGUCGUGCUAGAGUGCGGAAGGGGCAACUGGAAUUCUCGGUGUAGCGGUGAAAUGCGUAGAUAUCGAGAGGAACACCUGCGGCGAAGGCGGGUAGCUGGGCCGACACUGACGCUGAUGCGCGAAAGCGUGGGGAGCGAACCGG
This 253-nucleotide ribosomal RNA is filed under the name uncultured bacterium. Its description in RNAcentral is "partial 16S ribosomal RNA". It matches the Rfam family "Bacterial small subunit ribosomal RNA", at positions 524 to 776 of the family's 1533-position model. The record is from RNAcentral.